GAUGUCGACUUGGAGGUUGUUCCCUUGAGGAGUGGCUUCCGGAGCUAACGCGUUAAGUCGACCGCCUGGGGAGUACGGCCGCAAGGUUAAAACUCAAAUGAAUUGACGGGGGCCCGCACAAGCGGUGGAGCAUGUGGUUUAAUUCGAUGCAACGCGAAGAACCUUACCUACUCUUGACAUCCANGGAAUUUAGCAGAGAUGCUUUGGUGCCUUCGGGAACGGUGAGACAGGUGCUGCAUGGCUGUCGUCAGCUCGUGUUGUGAAAUGUUGGGUUAAGUCCCGCAACGAGCGCAACCCUUAUCCUUUGUUGCCAGCGAUUCGGUCGGGAACUCAAAGGAGACUGCCGGUGAUAAACCGGAGGAAGGUGGGGAUGACGUCAAGUCAUCAUGGCCCUUACGAGUAGGGCUACACACGUGCUACAAUGGCGCAUACAAAGAGAAGCGACCUCGCGAGAGCAAGCGGACCUCACAAAGUGCGUCGUAGUCCGGAUCGGAGUCUGCAACUCGACUCCGUGAAGUCGGAAUCGCUAGUAAUCGUGGAUCAGAAUGCCACGGUGAAUACGUUCCCGGGCCUUGUACACACCGCCCGUCACACCAUGGGAG
RNAcentral lists this ribosomal RNA (602 nucleotides) under Pantoea sp. RNAcentral's name for it is "bacterial SSU rRNA". It matches the Rfam family "Bacterial small subunit ribosomal RNA", at positions 808 to 1410 of the family's 1533-position model. The record is from RNAcentral. Lineage: Bacteria; Pseudomonadati; Pseudomonadota; Gammaproteobacteria; Enterobacterales; Erwiniaceae.